This is a long non-coding RNA of Mustela lutreola (European mink), 922 nucleotides long. RefSeq lists it as uncharacterized. The record is from RefSeq and is a predicted model, not a curated record. Lineage: Eukaryota; Metazoa; Chordata; Mammalia; Carnivora; Mustelidae. The transcript is spliced from 3 exons.
CAAAUUCUAACCACAGUCAGGACCUGAACAUGAGUAUUGGGAAGUGGAGUCAUUGAAACUGCUUUAGAUCCCAAAUGUUUAUUCUGGAGAGGACAUCCUUCUGCUGAGUUCACCGUCUCUGACAAUGGCAAUUUUUGGAGCUCUGUCUGAAGAUAUCUCAAGCUGCAAGGACACUGCUUAUUUCUUGCUGUGUCUGUGUGUUCUUAUUGAAACUUUGAUCAGGCCACGCUAUGAAGAGAGGGCUGACUGAGUUGGUAAACCGUUAAACUGGAGCUAUCAUGUAUCGCCGAGGACACCACAAAAGGAUCGGGGCCUCCAGGGCAGAACGCCAGGCGAGCAUCAGAUCCAAGUUCCAAGAAGGAGUCUGCUCCCAUAAUUACCGACACCUUCAGUGCUGGAGCCUCAGGGAGCCUUCUCCUUGUGAGCAGGAGUAGCAGUGAACCUCUUCUUGGAGUGCAGUACUGUGGGGAAGCAUUGGAAACAAGACUGUUGGGAGCCUCGGGAUCACUUUGGGAAAAGACUCUUUCUGCCAGAGGGUUAAACCUCUCAUGAAAGGGACAUCUGCCAGUAAGAAGGAACUAAGUUCUGCACAGACAUAAAAAUAAUUGAAACCAGCUACCCCAGGCCAUGCUAAGUGCUUUCCAUGUGUUAGCCCUUGAAUGUUAACAGGAGCCCUAGGAGACAGGACCACCACUGCCCCAUUUCACAUUUGAAGACACUGAGGAACCGGGACAAAGCAAUUUGCCUGAAGCUGCCCACAAUUUAGGGGAAACCCAGGAUUCCAAUUACAGUUCAGACUCUACAAUACACCAGUGGGCUCAGAAUGGUUUUUAUAUUUUAAAUGGUUGACAAAAAUUAAGAGAGGAUGAUUUCAUGGCACAUGAGAAUUAUAUGAAAUUUGAUUUUUGGUAUUCACAAAUAC